CUUGGUCAUUUAGAGGAAGUAAAAGUCGUAACAAGGUUUCCGUAGGUGAACCUGCGAAAGGAUCAUUAUUGAAUAAACCUGAUGAGUUGUAGCUGGCUCCUAGGAGCAUGUGCACGCUUGUCAUCUUUGUCUAUCCACCUGUGCACAAUCUGUAGUCUUCGGGGGGGAAUUAAACGUUCUCUCUCGAGUCUAUGUGUUUUUCAUACACUACAUAGCAUGUCGCAGAAUGUAAUCAAUGGGCUUCUAUGCCUAUAAAACGUUAUAUACAACUUUCAGCAACGGAUCUCUUGGCUCUCGCAUCGAUGAAGAACGCAGCGAAAUGCGAUAAGUAAUGUGAAUUGCAGAAUUCAGUGAAUCAUCGAAUCUUUGAACGCACCUUGCGCUCCUUGGUAUUCCGAGGAGCAUGCCUGUUUGAGUGUCAUUAAAUUCUCAACCCAUUCAGUUAUUGUGACUGAUAUGUGGAUUGGAUAUUGGGGGUUUGUGCCGGCCCUAGAGGUCAGCUCCCCUGAAAUGCAUUAGCCGAACGGUUUGCGAUCCCGUCACUUGGUGUGAUAAUUAUCUACGCCAUUAGGAAUCGCUCUCAGUCUUGUUCAGCUUACAAUAGUCCGACUUGGACAACCACUAUUGAAAGUUUGACCUCAAAUCAGGUAGGAUUACCCGCUGAACUUAAGCAUAUCAAUAAGCGGAGGA
Molecule: ribosomal RNA, 690 nt
Filed under: uncultured fungus
Lineage: Eukaryota; Fungi
Description: eukaryotic LSU rRNA
Rfam family: 5.8S ribosomal RNA (bases 268-421)
Source: RNAcentral